Molecule: unclassified non-coding RNA, 405 nt
Filed under: soil metagenome
Description: partial contains 5.8S ribosomal RNA, internal transcribed spacer 2, and large subunit ribosomal RNA
Rfam family: 5.8S ribosomal RNA (bases 1-121)
Source: RNAcentral
GAUGAAGAACGCAGCGAAAUGCGAUAAGUAAUGUGAAUUGCAGAUUUCAGUGAAUCAUCGAAUCUUUGAACGCACCUUGCGCCCUUUGGCCAUUCCGAAGGGCAUGCCUGUUUGAGUAUCAUGAACACCUCAACUCUUUAUGGUUUUCCAUGAUGAGCUUGGACUCUGGGGGUUUUGCUGGCUCACAGUCGGCUCCUCUAAAAUGAAUCAGCUUACCAGUGUUUGGUGGGUAUCAUGGGUGUGAUAACUAUCUACGCUUGUGGUUUUUCCACCAGGUAACCUUCAGCAGUGGAGGUUCGCUGGAGCUCAUAGAUGUCUCUCCUCAGUGAGGACAGCCCUUUGAAUGUUUGAUCUCAAAUCAGGUAGGACUACCCGCUGAACUUAAGCAUAUCAAUAAGCGGAGGA